RNAcentral lists this ribosomal RNA (406 nucleotides) under uncultured bacterium. RNAcentral describes it as "partial 16S ribosomal RNA". It matches the Rfam family "Bacterial small subunit ribosomal RNA", at positions 30 to 526 of the family's 1533-position model. The record is from RNAcentral.
AUUGAACGCUGGCGGCAGGCCUAACACAUGCAAGUCGAACGAGUGGCGGACGGGUGAGUAAUGUCGGGGACAACCCCUGAGGGAGGGGGAUAACUAGUGGAAACGGUAGCAGAUACCGCAUAAUAUCGUAUGUGCCCAGAUGGGAUUAGCUUGUAGGUGGGGUAAAGGCUCACCUAGGAGACGAUCCCUAGCUGGUCUGAGAGGAUGACCAGCCACACUGGAACUGAGACACGGUCCAGACUCCUACGGGAGGCAGCAGUGGGGAAUAUUGCACAAUGGGCGCAAGCCUGAUGCAGCCAUGCCGCGUGUAUGAAGAAGGCCUUCGGGUUGUAAAGUACUUUCAGCGGGGAGGCGUUACCCGCAGAAGAAGCACCGGCUAACUCCGUGCCAGCAGCCGCGGUAAUUC